AUGGUAGAUGACAAAUUGGUCAGUCGCUCCUUUUGGGUAGGAGAUAUUAGCAUGUUCGAAUCGUGCCUAUCAUA
RNAcentral lists this transfer RNA (74 nucleotides) under Lactifluus hygrophoroides. RNAcentral's name for it is "tRNA-Pro". Lineage: Eukaryota; Fungi; Basidiomycota; Agaricomycetes; Russulales; Russulaceae. The record is from RNAcentral.